This is a long non-coding RNA of Oncorhynchus mykiss (rainbow trout), 811 nucleotides long. RefSeq lists it as uncharacterized. The record is from RefSeq and is a predicted model, not a curated record. NCBI's taxonomy places the organism in Eukaryota, Metazoa, Chordata, Actinopteri, Salmoniformes, Salmonidae.
CAGAACACAGCACUAUUUAUAACAUUUAUUUAAGGAAAAAAUUGAGAAGGGCUUGCCAGGGUGUUACGUGGAGACCGCGGGGCUGCAAGAGGAAGUCAAGUGUCUAUGACAGUUUAACCCUGCACAUGCAGGAGGACAGAUUGUCUAUGGAACUAUGGAGAACAGACCCGUGACAUUCUGUGGCUUCCCAUGAGACAACUUGGUGAGAAAGUCACAAACUUGGAUGCAUUACCAAUAACUUAGAGGCUAAGGUAGUUGACCCUGGCUCUGGAGAGCUCAAGCCUCUCCAGGGACUACUGUAUGAUGCUGGAGUACUGGGAAGGCCGUUGCCAAGACAGACGAGUGCAUCACCAAAGAAUCAAGGCCAUUGUGUUGAGCUCAAUUGUACCAACAUUUUUGCAGAACCCGUUGGACCAAUGUUAUGUUUUAGCAGGCACAGGUUAACAGGAAAGGGAGGCCAUGUACAGCAAAGUGCCUUACACAGCACCGUCAGCUAAACACUGACAGCCAAAUGAUUUUGCACUAUUUUUAGGACCAACCCUGAUUAUCUUGUGACAGCCUUGAAAAUCACCUCAUCAAUCUGUGACUGUGACAAGCUGCUUUUUACACCAAAUAAAGGUUUUACACUUUUUUAGCCAUGUUACCAAAUCUCUAGGGACCAAGAGUUGAGAGUUGAAGGACCUCUACCUGCCUUUUUACAGUGCAUUCGGAAAGUAUUCAGACCCUUUCACUUUCUCCUAAUGCUAAUCUUAUUCUAAAAUGUAUUAAAUCGUUUUUUUCUACACACAAUACCCCAUAAUGACAAAGCAAA